CCAAUAAGUAAUAAAAGGUCCGUUUAGAUCCCAAAACUUUAUUUAAAGUAUCAGUUUGAUCCUUUCGGUUAAUUUAAUUCAAAAAAACAUUAAAUUUAAAUACUAAUUAAAUAAGUUAAGGGAUCAAACUAAUGUUAAUUAAAUAAGAUAAGGGACCAAAAUUUAACUUUUUUCUAAUUAAAUCAACAGAAAUGAUCAAACCGAUACUUUCAAUAAAGUUAAGGGACCAAAACAGACAUUUUAUUAAUUGUGGGA
Molecule: microRNA precursor, 255 nt
Organism: Medicago truncatula (barrel medic)
Lineage: Eukaryota; Viridiplantae; Streptophyta; Magnoliopsida; Fabales; Fabaceae
Rfam family: MIR2655 microRNA precursor family
Source: Rfam